RNAcentral lists this ribosomal RNA (253 nucleotides) under uncultured bacterium. RNAcentral describes it as "partial 16S ribosomal RNA". It matches the Rfam family "Bacterial small subunit ribosomal RNA", at positions 524 to 776 of the family's 1533-position model. The record is from RNAcentral.
UACGUAGGGUGCGAGCGUUGUCCGGAAUUAUUGGGCGUAAAGAGCGCGCAGGCGGUCGUUCAAGUCGCGUGUGAAAGCCCCCGGCUCAACUGGGGAGGGUCACGCGAUACUGAUCGACUCGAAGGCAGGAGAGGGUAGUGGAAUUCCCGGUGUAGUGGUGAAAUGCGUAGAUAUCUGGAGGAACACCGGUGGCGAAGGCGACAUCCUGGACCGGUAUUGACGCUGAGGCGCGAAAGCCAGGGGAGCAAACGGG